Hemicordylus capensis (graceful crag lizard) is the source of this 2649-nucleotide long non-coding RNA. RefSeq lists it as uncharacterized. The transcript has 2 exons. NCBI's taxonomy places the organism in Eukaryota, Metazoa, Chordata, Lepidosauria, Squamata, Cordylidae. The record is from RefSeq and is a predicted model, not a curated record.
CUGCCGGAUUGCUGCGCUGCGCUUUGUUCAUAGGGCCUGCUGGAGAUUAUGCUGUCACACAGAGGGACAUCACCGCAGGUCGUCUCAGUUCGUGGAGAAAUGUUGCCCACUUAACGAGUAGAAGGUUUUCUUGUGUGAAAUUAAUCUGUGACUUCUUCUAUAGCGGCUGGAGCGCCAUGGAGAUUUUUGCAAUUUUUUUAUUUAUAAAAUGUAGUUUAUGGAGGACUGAGCAGCGAUGGGAUGUGUGCAGGGACAUCCAGAAAGAAAGACGUAAGGCAGAGCACUUGCACAGAUCAAAGGCCUCCCUGAGCAAAAACCGCCUGUGGCCCCUGAUGGACAGGAGAUGCAAAAGCAGCCUUGUCCUGAAUCACUCGCCUGGUCACCACGGCAACUUGGAACGAAGGCUAGGCGAAACGGGGGAGCGGAAUAACGUGGGCAAGCAGCGGUGAAUCUACCUGGCCUUCCAGGCUCACACACUCACCGCUGGCUCUUAAUCAUUCCUCCCGCACCGGCAGCGCGACUGAAGGAGGAGAUUAAAAGGAGACUCACCCGGGCCGGCUCUUCUUCCCAGCCGGCUUUGGCUCGCUCCUCCUGGCUGCCUAUCAACCCCGCGGAAGCACAGACCCUGCGUUCCAGUUCAGCGCUGCCCCGAUGACGCAACGGAGAGGGCGGGGAUAAGGGAAAAGAGAGGUUCUGCUGUUGGCGGCCGGAUGUCUCGCAAGCCUCAACCAGCCCUUUGCACUGAACGCAUAGGAGCUGGGGUGGGGAGAGGUUGGGCGCGGCAGCGGUUAUGAAAAGGGUUCUCAGACUUGGGUCCACUAUUCCCUGUAAGAUGGGCGCGCACAGAUGAAUCCAGCCACCCCCGGCUCAGCAGAAUCCAUCACCCGCGCAGUCUCGCAACUGUGCUCCAAUGGCUGCAUAAAGUGCCGACUGUCUUUUCCGCCGCCGCCGCUGUGUUAGCUCUUGCUGUGGACGGAACUGGAAAACCGGCUUUUUCGUGCAAGCCAUGAAGCCAGAGAGCCUUGGAACAGCUGACAGGGUGGCGAGGCUGUGGGCAUUUUAAGCAGCCAUUGGAGGGCAGCGAGACUGCUCACCCCUCUUGACACCGAAACAGUUCCCACACCUGCGGUACGAUCCGAAUUUGGCCCAAACUGCAGAAAAUGGUACGCGCCCACCCCUACUACUUCCUUUCUAGGUUGGAAUAAACUGAGAUUGGUCCCGAUGUCCAAGCUCACCAAUCUCAGCUUAUUUUUUUGCUAUUUGCUUCAGAAAACCUGACAUCUCUACCCGUGGGUUGAAGUUCACUUCAGAUCUUGGGUUCCUAAGAAGGGGCCAAGAUUGUGGGUUCGGAUGUCGCAUGGCUAACCUCAGUUUAUGCUAACCUGAAAAGUAAGGAGACUCUUGUGCAAGGAUGAGAUAGGGAAGCAUGCACUCCUGGAGCAGAGGGGAUUGGGCAUAGCUCAGUGUCAACUGGUCUCACAAAAGGUGGCCAGAUUUGGCUUUUAAAAAGCCAAAUUCUGGCUUAUGGCUCACAUUUGACUUACGAGUAUACCCCUUAGGUUCUGGCAACCCCUUCUGAACCCAUCUUUUUAGUGUCACAAGAUGGUAGCUCAAGUAAAGAUAUUUCCUUCUGUGCAAAGGAUGACCAAAGUUAACUGCAGAGUAGUCAAGUUUGCAGUAUUUCCACGAACCUUUUCAUGGAGGAGGCAUGGAUGUAGGACAAUUUGCCUGUCUUUAAUCGAGUGCAAUGUAGUUUGUGAAAUACUGGACCCCACAGUGACUACACCAUUUCCUGUAUUUGUCAGCCUGCAUGAUGCUGGACAGAUGUAGAGCAAACAUGUCCUGUUAUAUAAAUAUAGAAUGUGGUUCUAGAUGCCUGAAGUUGGCCUGUCCUAGGGUAACACCAUAGUGUUCUCACAUUUGCACAUGUGACAAGAGGUAAUAAGGGUGAUGUAUAUAAAGGUAAGCAAAUAACAGAAAAACCUGGGUUGGGAGAAAAAAGACAUGGCUCCUCUUGAUGUCUAAUUAGAAACAAUCUAUUGUAGGCUCCCAGGGUAGCACUGUCAUAAGGAAAAGUAAGGCUUCCAAUAGUAGAUAAUAGGAUGGCCAACAAGGUGGCAAGAUGUCCACCAUUGCUCACCUGCCUCCCACCAUCACUGGAGCAGUUCUUCAUCGAGUGGAGGCACAGCCAGUGCUCUACAGGCUGCCACUCUAAGAGAUGGUCUGCCUCUUAUGUGACGGUCACAUCUGUUGCCACCACUACCACCUGACGGCACACACCCUCCUAUUUUAUUUGUGGACCACCGGGCUUGUUAUGAAAGGAGUAGAUUACCAGAGAUGCAUCUCCAGUACUCCAUUCACCUUUCCACGCUUCCUCUUUUGCUUCCUUCCCCUUUUCUUAACUCAUCCGGUUGUGUGAGAGGCAGACAGUCGCAGCAGCUAGUGCCACCACAAAGGAGGAGGAAGAAACAGCGAAGGAGUCCAGCCUGAGCAUGUGUGUACUAGGUGAAGCAGAAAGAAAAAAGUUGAGGGCGGCGGCGGCAAGGUGAUGGUAUUUGGGGCCCUCCAACUAUGCUGAGAUUUGGACAGCCAGUGUACUGUAGGUCCCUCUUGAGCACACAUCUAUCCAUUAUACUAUAUUGUUUUUCA